UGACAUUUUUGAGGGACAUCAAGGAGGCUGGUGUGGCUGAGCAGAAGGAGGUAAAGUCAGAGAGGAAGCAAUGACAAUUCGUAACAAUCUCCUUCAGGAAACCACCAAGACAGGGAUCUAAGUAUGGCAUCUGCUGGAGAGACUUCCAAAGGAGAGAUGGUCAGAAGGCUCCUCUUGAGCUAUGUGACACCAUGUUGCAGAAACCUCAUCACCAGCUCCAAUGACCACAGGAUGUCCAGCUGGCUGGAGCUCAGAGUGCUGUGCGGAAUUUGAGUCCAAGGCAUGGCUCCAGGGUGCCCUCAUAUUGUGUAAGCCUUCAGAGGGCAGCACUGCGCAGCCUUGAUGAGGGCUGUGUCAGGUUGCUGCUUGAGCUGUCCCUGUUGCAGAAUGAGUGCUGACAUCAACCCUCCAGAACUGAGAACCUUUACUGAACAUCAGAAGCUGCAAGUGCCAAGAGCUGACCUGGACUGGACGAGCUUUUAUCUCCACUGCGCCUCCACAGACUCACUUGGCGUUUGGUUUGUUAACUUCCGGCCCUCUGUGUUAUCUUGUUUGCUGUGUGGCCUGUCUUGUGCUCUGCUUUGUGUACUGUGUAAGAAGCCAAGUUAA
RNAcentral lists this long non-coding RNA (609 nucleotides) under Mustela putorius furo (domestic ferret). Its description in RNAcentral is "lncRNA (ENSMPUG00000024487.1)". The record is from RNAcentral. Lineage: Eukaryota; Metazoa; Chordata; Mammalia; Carnivora; Mustelidae.